AUCUCAGACAAGUCACUCAUAGAAUUCUUCUAUGGAGGUUUGCUACCAUCUGAAAGGAGAUUUAUUGAUGUGGCAUGUGGAGGUUCCAUUGCAGAUAAGACACCUAGGGAGAUGAGAGAGUUGAUCUCAACACUUGCAGCCUCAUCUAGGCAAUAUGGAGAAGAAAAGCAACUGCAGAGAGAAGCAAAUGAGGUAAGUACAUCUACUCUUUCCUCUCAAAUUUCUGAACUGACCUCUGUUAUGAAAAUUUUUGUCAUAGGUCGAACUCAACAGGCUCAGACACCUCAACCACCACCUCAGCCAUGUGGGAUUUGUGCAUAUGUAGG
Molecule: long non-coding RNA, 326 nt
Filed under: Manihot esculenta (cassava)
Lineage: Eukaryota; Viridiplantae; Streptophyta; Magnoliopsida; Malpighiales; Euphorbiaceae
Description: long non-coding RNA (MESC_LNC004574)
Source: RNAcentral